Numida meleagris (helmeted guineafowl) is the source of this 2328-nucleotide long non-coding RNA. Ensembl annotates it as proline-rich protein 36-like. The record is from Ensembl. Lineage: Eukaryota; Metazoa; Chordata; Aves; Galliformes; Numididae.
CAGAACUGGGUCCAGAUGUUACCACGAGGAGCACACGUCCUGCAGCAGAACUGGGUCCAGAUAUCACCAUGAGGAGCAUACAUUCUGCAGCAGAACUGGGUCCAGAUGUUACCAUGAGGAGCACACAUCUUCCAGAAGAACUGGGUCCAGAUGUUACCAUGAAGAGCUCCCAUCCUGCAGCAGAACUGGGUCCAGAUGUUACCACGAGGAGCACACAUUCUGCAGCAGAACUUGAUCCAGAAAGUACCGUGUGGAGCACACAUCUUCCAGAAGAACUGGGUCCCGAUGGUACUACGCAGAGUGUGCAUUCUUCAGCAGAAUUGGGCUUGGGUCUUAGCAUAUGGAGUGCAUAUCCUACAGCAGAUAUUUCCACAUGGAGCACACGCCCUUCAGCAGAACCAGAUGUAGAAGAUACCAUGAGGAGCACACCUCCUGCAGCUGAAUCAGGUCUAGAAGGUACCACAUGGGAUACACAUUCUUCAGCCGAUUUUGAUCUUGAUGGUACCAUGAGGAGCAAACAAUCUUCAGCAGAAGCAAGUCUCGAAGGCACAACAGGGAGCAAACAUCUUGCAGCAGAAACAAGCCUAAGAGGUACCACGUGGAGCACUCAUCCCACAGAGGGUGCAGCAUCAGAUGGAAUAAUGAGGAGAACACUUCCCACAGCAGAAUCAGGUGCUGGUCCAAUGGGAAUCUCUGCUCUGCCCACUAGAGCUCCAUCACCCUCCCCAUCUUUGGCCCCCACCCUGGGGCUGUCUGUCUCUCCUGCCCUUGCUGUUCAACUGAAUCCAGGCUCUGGCACUCGCUCCCAGCACCCCACAGAGGCCCCCAGGACCCAGAGACCCCCAGAACCUACCCAGUACCCUGAGAUCCCCAACAUCCAGGGACACCCGACAUCCACCCAACACCCAGCAGAGAGCCCCGCUGCCUGGACAGAGCUUGUGCUCUCCCAACAUCCCACUGCAGAGCCCUCCAGUUCCUGGACACCCCCAGACCUCUUCAUCCAGGCUCCACCAAGGAACCCCAGCCCCCAGAGCACUCCAGUACUCACCAUGCUCCCCAUAGAUUCCACCAGCCCUUCCAUGAAUGCUGCUCGUUCCAAGCACCUCAUGGAGAUCCCCAGACCCCAGAGUCUCCCAGCACCUUCUGAGGACCCCAUGGAGACCAUCAGUACCCAGAGACCCCCAGUAUCUGCCCAGCACCCCACAGAGACUCUCAGCUCCAAGAGCCCCCCAGCACUCUCCCAGUAUCUAACAGAGAUCCUCAGCACACUGGUCCCCUCAGCACCCACCCAACACCCCAUGGAGACCUUUGACAUCCAGCCUCCCACAGCACCCACUGAAGAAUCCAUGGAGACCUUCAGCACCCGGAGGCUCCCAGCAUUGCCCCAGCACCCCACAGAGCCCCCCAGCACCCAGAGCCCCCCAUCAACCCACCAACACCCUACGAAGACCUUUGGCACCCAGAUCCCCCCAGCACCCUCCCAGCACCCCAAAGAGACCCUCAGCACCCAGGCACCCCCAGAACACCCUAAGCACCUCACAGAUCCCCCCAGUGCCCAGAUUCCCUCAGCACCUCUCCAGCAUCCAAUGGAGACUUUUGGCACUCAGACUCCCCAAGCACCCCUCCAGCACCCCAUGAAGUUGUUCAGCACCCAGCCCCCCCCAGCACCCACAGAGACCCUCCGCACCCUUUCUGCAAGCCCUGUACUGCCUGGACCCCCAUGUGCAGGUCCAGCCCAGCCAGCACCGCCUGUGCCAACACUCUCUGCACUGUGGGUCCGGGGAGGACCCUGUGUGGCCCCUGCGCUGCGGGCACUGUUGUGGGAAGUGCGGGGGCUGCGGGGGCAGCUGCGGGCCCUGGCUCGCACCCAGCGGAGGGGAGCUCAGCGCCUGGAGGCCAUCGCCCGCCGCCUGGGCCAGCUUGCUGCCCUCGGACAGCACCUCCUGGAGGAGCCCCCCCGGCUGUACGGGGGUGUGGGCAUCCGAGGGGGAGCCUUGCACAGGAGGCAACGGAAAUAAAGCCGGCCUGGUUCACCAGAGAAUCUUGAGUGUUGAAGAGGGGGAGGGGAAGGAGGAAGAGGCGGGGGGAGAAGGAGGGGGCCAGUGAGAGGACCAGGGAGAGGGAGAGGGAUGGGGAGAGGAGAGGAGAGGAGGACUCAUCCCAUCCUGGCGCCUGCUUGGCUGCUGCAGCGUUCCCCUUCCUGUUCUCAGCUUUCGAUUCCUCCCCUCGCUCCCCCUCCUUGACCCCCUUCUUAAAAGGGUGGCCCCAGCGUCUGGGGAGGCCCAGCUGGCAGCAUGGGGGGGCUGCGUGACCUUGGACUGUGCCUGG